RNAcentral lists this ribosomal RNA (440 nucleotides) under uncultured bacterium. Its description in RNAcentral is "partial 16S ribosomal RNA". It matches the Rfam family "Bacterial small subunit ribosomal RNA", at positions 338 to 795 of the family's 1533-position model. The record is from RNAcentral.
CCUACGGGACGCAGCAGUGGGGAAUAUUGCACAAUGGGGGAAACCCUGAUGCAGCGACGCCGCGUGAGCGAUGAAGUAUUUCGGUAUGUAAAGCUCUAUCAGCAGGGGAGAAAAUGACGGUACCUGACUAAGAAGCCCCGGCUAACUACGUGCCAGCAGCCGCGGUAAUACGUAGGGGGCAAGCGUUAUCCGGAUGUACUGGGUGUAAAGGGGGCGUAGACGGGGAUGCAAGCCAGCUGUGAAAGCCCGGGGCACAACCCCGGGACUGCAUUUGGAACUGUAUAGCUGGAGUGUCGGAGAGGCAGGCGGAAUUCCUAGUGUAGCGGUGAAAUGCGUAGAUAUUAGGAGGAACACCAGUGGCGAAGGCGGCCUGCUGGACGAUGACUGACGUUGAGGCUCGAAAGCGUGGGGAGCAAACAGGAUUAGAUACCCCAGUAGUC